AGCUAGGUCUUGGUCACCGUGGUAAAAGCCGUCCAAGCACCCUCUUGGCAGUGUGAUUGGAGACUUUUACCGUGGUCUGAGAUCAGUCAUAC
This 92-nucleotide microRNA precursor is filed under the name Nematostella vectensis (starlet sea anemone). RNAcentral describes it as "microRNA nve-mir-2037 precursor". The record is from miRBase by way of RNAcentral. Lineage: Eukaryota; Metazoa; Cnidaria; Anthozoa; Actiniaria; Edwardsiidae.